Molecule: long non-coding RNA, 1850 nt
Organism: Apteryx owenii (little spotted kiwi)
Lineage: Eukaryota; Metazoa; Chordata; Aves; Apterygiformes; Apterygidae
Source: Ensembl
CUGCAGUGUUAGCGCUGACACAUUGCUUGGGUUCGGCUCUGCUGUGCUGCACGCGCACAGGCAUCACAUAUGAGCGUCCAUCCAACCAUCCAUCUGCCUUCAUCCUUAGCUAGAGUCACACCACUGUGCAGCCAUGGUAUCUGUGGGGGGAAUGGAGUUUACCUAUCAUUAUCUUUUUUAUUGAGGCAGGUUAGAGGUGUUACUGGACAAGUUUUCCAGGAUCUUUUUCAUCACAGCCUAGAGGCAGCUUUAUACCAGUACAAAAGCCUGGAGGGAGACCGUGACCCCGGGCGAUUGCUGGCUUCUCGCCCCUGCUGCAGCGGGUUUUCGAGGUGCAAAGGCUGUGGCACGCCAAGCUGCAGGCUGAGCUCCAGAAAAGUCUCUCCUCCCCGUGAAAUCCUCGYGGCUGUCGGCAGCAUCCAGAGCCUGCACUGGGUUGCUGGGUCCGCGUCUCGGUCUGCGACGCCUGGGAGCAGAGCCGGCCCUCUGCAUCUGCAUUCAUCAUGCUGGUGGCACCUUGCAGCCCUGGGCUGGGAUAACCUGGCCCCCUGCUUGGGGCUAAUCCCCUGCGCUGGUUCAUGCAUGCAGCAUUUUGAAGCAACCCCUAUUUUUACAGGCAGUGAAACUGAGGCAUGGAUUUCAGAAAAAGAGGAGGAGAGAGGGGGAAGAAAAGCCUGGCCAAGGCUGCAAGGAUCCCUGGGGCAGGCCUGGCUUGUUCCUUUUUUGAUCCAUUUUCCUCACAACUGGCCACCUGUAAAGCUGUUAGUUGUGUAUGUGGCAUUACAUUUGCAUUUCCAGCUGCUCCAGCCAGGUCUGCAUUUGCAUUUGCAUUUGCAGCUCCUCCAGCCAGGUACAGCCGCAGUGCCAGGACAAGCCCAGCACCCUGUGCACGCCUGGAGAUGACUGUUGUGUUUCUCCAUGGAAGCUGGAGCAGUUUUGGGGUGCUGCAAACCCUCCUUUCGGGGGCCCUGGCAGCUUUCCUGCAGCCGGUGGGUCACACAGCCUCACCACUGGUGGGACGGGGUGAGAGGGGAAACUGAGGCACCGCGCUGGGGAACCUGGCCGUGCCACUUGCCCAUGAGCACAGAGCAGGAGGAUGUGGAGAUGCGCUGGGGAGACUGGGAUUUGCAGAGGAAGCACUGGGAUUUGGACGCCCAAAUCCCUUCCCCCAGCUCCAGUGCCGACAUCCCAGUCGGGGGCUGAGUUUGGUGCCAAUCACUGUUUAAUUAGGGUUUGCUUCGAUGCAGAAGUACCACYCAGGUUUGGCUGUCCAUGCGUCGAAGGGCACAGCAUGAGCCAGGGGAGAAACAAGCCAUCCCAUGCCUCUUCCAAGGCUUGAGCUACCCUGUUCACUUUGAAUUAACAACACAGAGGCAAUGCCAGCAGCACGCUGGCUCCCCAGCGCUUUGCACUCUUGCUUGCACAUGAGCACGGUGCAUGAAAACGCCUCACGCUCGCCGCCCCAAGUUGCCUGCUGUGGGGUGCCCAGCCCCAGGGCCAGGCCAGUCGUAUUAAAAAAAGCCCCAUCAGAAAACCAUCCUCUGAGCUGGGGUUUCUCACGGCCGCAGCGGCGUGCUGUGACGGAGGCUCUCGCUUCGAACACGUUGCAAAGGGUUUGCUGCUCCCUCUCCCCGCACACCAUCCGGCUCGGAGGUGAAGUUUGCUCCUGGGCUGACCUUAGCGAUAAAAAGUGGAACUUAAGGCUUCAGCAUGACACAAGCGUGCAGGGCCCUUGGCUGAGCUUUAAUGCCUUGUUCUGCUCUGCCAACGGCACAGCACUGAGCUGCCCUGCUCUAACAAAACCCGCUCUCCCCAUCUGCGACUUAAUAAAUCUCUGCUAGCAAAACCCA